Vespula vulgaris is the source of this 877-nucleotide RNA transcript. It is a transcript of the gene named intraflagellar transport protein 22 homolog, with no coding region annotated. Lineage: Eukaryota; Metazoa; Arthropoda; Insecta; Hymenoptera; Vespidae. The transcript has 2 exons. The record is from RefSeq and is a predicted model, not a curated record.
AUAUAUAUAUAUAUAUAUAUAUAUAUAAUUAUUUCUAAUUGAAAUAAUUAUGAUUUUAUAUAAAUAUGCUUACUUGUUAUGUUGUAUAAUUAAGUAUGCAUUUUAACUUCGUCACUAUGAAUGGUUACCGUGGAAACAAUAUAGUAUACAAAAAUAGCCUUCAAGAGUGAUUGAUACAAAUAUGAAAAGAUUACUGUGUCAUAAAAGAUAUCAAUAAUUAUGCAAGCUUUAAAAUUAGUGGUAAUUGGACCAUUGGAGCUGAUGCUUCAGAAAUUCCUUACAAUUACCAUCCAACAUAUGGUGUAAGAAUACUAGAAGCAGAAGCACAAGGCAUUAUAGUAAAUAAUAAAACUAUUUCAAAAGAUAUUGAAAUAUGGGAUUGUAGUGGCGAUUAUAAGUAUGCAAAUUAAGUACAUUAUAUAUUUUAAACUUGAAGUGGAUUAUCUAUUCUUGUAAUUUAUGCAUGUUACAGAUUUAAAACUUGUUGGCCUGCUAUAAGGAAAGAUUUGCAUGGUGUGAUGUUAAUAUAUAAUGCAAAAAAACAAAAUUGUUUAAAAGAAAUGCAAGAGUUCUAUGAUUACUUUGUUACACAGACUAAAUUAGGUCCUGACAUGUGUGUAAUAUUCUGUUAUGAUCCUGACAGAAUUCUAUCUGAAUUACCGAAAUCGAUCUGUAAGUGUAAAAAUAAGAAAAACGAAUGAUUAAUUGUAAUUAAAAAAAAAAAAAUAAUAAUUUAUUUACUUAUACAGCUUCCACAUUUCCCAAAGUAUCACAUGUUAGAUGUGACAUAGAAGAAAGUGGUAAUAAAUUACAAGCUGACUUUCGUUUAUUUUUAAGUUCACUUAUGACUAAAAUGCAAGACUAUUUGGAUCAAGAA